RNAcentral lists this ribosomal RNA (501 nucleotides) under uncultured bacterium. RNAcentral's name for it is "bacterial SSU rRNA". It matches the Rfam family "Bacterial small subunit ribosomal RNA", at positions 32 to 529 of the family's 1533-position model. The record is from RNAcentral.
AAUCAACGCUGGCGGCGUGCCUAACACAUGCAAGUCGGACGAGAAAGUGGGGGCGACCCUGCGAGUACAGUGGCAGACGGGUGAGUAACACGUGAACAACCUACCCUUGAGUGGGGAAUAACACCGCGAAAGCGGUGCUAAUACCGCAUAACAUCUUUGGGUUGCAUGAUCUGGAGAUCAAAAGCGAGAGUUGCUUGAGGAGGGGUUCGCGGCUGAUUAGCUAGUUGGUGAGGUAACGGCCCACCAAGGCGACGAUCAGUAGCCGGCCUGAGAGGGCGAACGGCCACACUGGAACUGAGACACGGUCCAGACUCCUACGGGAGGCAGCAGUGGGGAAUUUUGCGCAAUGGGCGAAAGCCUGACGCAGCAACGCCGCGUGGAGGAUGAAGGCCUUCGGGUCGUAAACUCCUGUCGAUGGGGACGAAAGCCUAGCAAUAGGAUUGACUGUACCCGUUGAGGAAGCCACGGCUAACUCCGUGCCAGCAGCCGCGGUAAUACGGA